CGCCUGGGGAGUACGGCCGCAAGGUUAAAACUCAAAUGAAUUGACGGGGGCCCGCACAAGCGGUGGAGCAUGUGGUUUAAUUCGACGCAACGCGAAGAACCUUACCUGGCCUUGACAUGCAGAGAACUUUCCAGAGAUGGAUUGGUGCCUUCGGGAACUCUGACACAGGUGCUGCAUGGCCGUCGUCAGCUCGUGUCGUGAGAUGUUGGGUUAAGUCCCGUAACGAGCGCAACCCCUAUCCCUAGUUGCUAGCAGUUCGGCUGAGAACUCUAGGGAGACUGCCGGUGACAAACCGGAGAAGGUGGGGAUGACGUCAGGUCAUCAUGGCCCUUACGCCAGGCUACACACGUGCUACUAUGGCGCGCACAGAGGCUGCAAACCCGCGAGGGGAGCCAAUCUCACAAAACGCGUCGUAGUCCGGAUCGCAGUCUGCACUCGACUGCGUGAGUCGAUCGCUAGUAUCGUGAUCAGAU
This 473-nucleotide ribosomal RNA is filed under the name uncultured Marinobacter sp. Its description in RNAcentral is "bacterial SSU rRNA". It matches the Rfam family "Bacterial small subunit ribosomal RNA", at positions 870 to 1354 of the family's 1533-position model. Lineage: Bacteria; Pseudomonadati; Pseudomonadota; Gammaproteobacteria; Pseudomonadales; Marinobacteraceae. The record is from RNAcentral.